AUGUUCAUUCAAUAUUCCUGCAGUCAGACACUAAUCGAGUCUGAUUCAGUGAUCAUCAAACCUGAUCAGUGUCAUAAACUGACCUGUACAGCCUCUGGACUUGACUUUGAUAGCUACUGGAUGGCUUGGAUCAGACAGGCACCUGGAAAAGGGUUGGAAUUUGUUGCAACCAUCUCAGGGGGCAGUGGUAGCAUAUAUUACUCCAGUGCAGUUAAUGGCCGCUUCACCAUCUCCAGAGACAACAGUAAGAAGCAGGUGUAUCUGCAGAUGAACAGUGCUUUCGCUCAGCAACCCCUGAAGGAUGUGUUCGUUUCGACGCAGUGGCAGAACUAA
Non-coding RNA from Ictalurus punctatus (channel catfish), 333 nucleotides. The record is from the annotation of a RefSeq genome assembly. NCBI's taxonomy places the organism in Eukaryota, Metazoa, Chordata, Actinopteri, Siluriformes, Ictaluridae.